GAAGGAUCUAUCCCCGGAUUUCUNCAAACACCGGUUUGUUGCUUGCCCCCGUAACUGGGGGACACGUGUGACACCGCUGUCGUGGUUACGCAUGCCAACGUGAACAACCCUGUGCAACCCCUUCCGGUAAUUUCCUAUGGGUUUCGCGGAGGAUCCNNCCGUGGUGUCCCUUUCACGUGUGUCUUCUAACGUUGUUGUUUACACCAACUACCGAGCGGACCGUUUCUUGCAAUGGGGAAACUGCUUUCUUUCCUGGCCGCUUGUAGAACUGCCGAAUACGAGUACAACGUGUGUCAGGCAACGGAUCUCUUUGGCUCUCUGCAUCGAUGAAGAACGCAGCGAAAUGCGAUAAGUAAUGUGAAUUGCAGAAUGUCAGUGAAUCAUCGAAUCUUUGAACGCACCUUGCGCCCCUUGGUUAUUCCUUGGGGCAUGCCGUGUUUGAGUAUCUAUGUACACCUCAACUCUCACGGUCUUCCGUGACGAGCUUGGACUUUGGAGGUUUGCUGGCCCUGCGGCCUGGCUCCUCUCAAACAAAUCAGCUUGCCAGUGUUUGGCGGCAUCUCACGGGUGUGAUAACUAUCUACGCUCGCGGUUGUCUGCCAGGUAACCCUCAGCGAUGAAGGUUCAUUGGGGCAUCAUAAACGUCUCUCCUCGGCGAGGACAGCUUUUGAACGUUCGAUCAUCAAAUCAGGUAUGGACUACCCGCUGAACUUAAGCAUAUCAAUAAGCGGAGGAAAAGAAACUAACAAGGAUUCCCCUAGUAACUGCGAGUGAAGCGGGAAGCAGCUCCAAAUUUAAAAUCUGGCGUGCCUCUGGUCGUCCCGU
RNAcentral lists this ribosomal RNA (825 nucleotides) under uncultured Thelephoraceae. Its description in RNAcentral is "eukaryotic LSU rRNA". The stretch from base 290 to 448 matches the Rfam family "5.8S ribosomal RNA". The record is from RNAcentral. Lineage: Eukaryota; Fungi; Basidiomycota; Agaricomycetes; Thelephorales; Thelephoraceae.